AUGCCAUUACAAUUUGAAUCCUGAUGGACAUCCCAGUUGUUUGGCCUAAGAAGAAAACAUUAACAUUGGUCUUUAGCAUAGGCUUGUCUCUCAGUGAAUGUCAGUUUGGGGUAUGCAUGCGUGAAUGAAUGAAUGCUACAUGAAAUGCCAUGGAGAGACAACAGCAUUCUUCAUAGAAGAGCGUCACAUCCCAUUGUGUGUUGUGACAUCAGAAGCCUCCAUUCAGCUUCCUUACUUUAACCUUGGUUUGGGAUAUUUUCUGGGAGCUCUGGACCAAAAUCCUGUCUUUUUCAUCAUUGACCAUAUUCAUGGACCGCAUUGUUGUGGAAUGGCGCCGAUGAACAUAACGAAAAAUCUGCAUCCCAUUGUGCCCCUAAAUGCCCAAAUAACUGGUUAACUUAAUGCUUUGAUACUGUAGUCACAACAAAGAUGAGGGCUAGCAUAUCUGUCUUUUGAUAUCAGAGAUGCAAUUGAACAUCAGCCCAGGGCCAAUGUAUGACAUGUUUUCCAUGCAUUGGAGGCUUCUCCUUACUCCCAGGGGGACAGGCCACUAUUUCUGGGCCCAAUUCUGCAUGGAGGACUGAUACAGAAGGCUGGAUAAAUGUCUACAAUAAGAUAAUCUGUUCACUUGACUGCUUUUCCCAAUUGACUGUAACCUCAAGGAGAGGAGAUAUAUUUCUAUUUUGUUUACCACCCAGCAUGAUGCAAAGUGCUUGGCAAAUUGUAGGUCCCUGAUGAGCAUUUCUUGGACAAAUGAACGAAUGAAUGCUGUUCUUUUUUCACUGAGCUUUACUUCAAUCAGAACACGAAAACCUCUUCUCUCUGUAAGUGGGAAUCCCCUAGGCUGGGGGAAGGAAAUGUACCUCUUGCCUUCUUUUCUGAAGAUAAUUUUAAAAAUCAGCAACCAGCAGAAAUAGUUACCUUCUGCCUGGGUACACUGACUCGUCGCUGUCAUUACAAUCUCUCCCUCGCCAGUGAUAGCCCCGCAGCGUCUGAAAUUGAAGAGCACACACAGGAGGGUUUCAGCCCACUUUGAUGUUAUCCACGAGGAAGGUUAAUCAGAGCUGUCUGAAUGGCAUUGACAUCCACAGUUUUUAAUUCAAAUUCAAUCUAGGAUCACUAAAGAGCACUAAGAAAGUUAAGAUUAAUACAAUAAGACAUGCUGUGUGAAGUGACGUGUAAUAUAACACCAGGGCCAAUAACAGGUGGUAGGGUGUGUACAUGUGUGUUGUGUGACAUUGAAUGUUUGCCUAUAUGUGUGUGUCUGGGGUGCAUGUGUGUGAAUGUGAAUGUGUAUGUGUAUGUAUGGGGGCAUGUGUAUAUGCAUGUGUGUGUUCAUGUGUAUUUAUAUUGUAGAUGUAUGUGCAUGUGUCUGUGUGUACAUGUGUUUGCUCAUGUAUGUGUGUCUACAAGCACCUCCAGAAACAGCAGACCCAUCUACCCCCCCCAAAAUCCCUCUAUUAACCAUCAGUCCUCUCAGGCUGUGAAACAAUUUGCCUAUUGGGCCAAAUUAUUAAUUUUCUUGGAAAUUCUAAAGUCUCUAGCCAAAUGAUUAAUUAUGUAGGUUUAAAUAUUUGACCUGAAUGAUUGGAAUCAAGAGUUAUGAUAAUGUCAAAUAAUAUUUUUAUUUCCUCCUUUCCCAAGUAGAAUAUCUGAGAUUUUCCAAACUUUUGGGACUUUGUGACAUGUUACUUGUUUGUUGGCUUUCACAGAGAGAAUACUCUGACAUUUUAACUGUUCUGAAUCAAAUGCACACACACUGUUUAAAAAGCGUUUGGGGAGUCCCUGCUGCGUGCCAGGAAUCAUAUUAGAUACCAGAGAUGGGUACAAGAUACAGUUCCUGAACUCAAGGAGCUUGACAUGGGCAAGGAAAUUAAUGCAUCAAAAGGUUUUCUAAAUUUUAAACAAUGAGUACCAGCUCAGCAAUAAAUGCUUUCAGAAAAGAGCUCAA
Sapajus apella (tufted capuchin) is the source of this 1951-nucleotide long non-coding RNA. RefSeq lists it as uncharacterized. The transcript has 3 exons. NCBI's taxonomy places the organism in Eukaryota, Metazoa, Chordata, Mammalia, Primates, Cebidae. The record is from RefSeq and is a predicted model, not a curated record.